This 649-nucleotide ribosomal RNA is filed under the name Klebsiella sp. RNAcentral's name for it is "bacterial SSU rRNA". It matches the Rfam family "Bacterial small subunit ribosomal RNA", at positions 783 to 1432 of the family's 1533-position model. Lineage: Bacteria; Pseudomonadati; Pseudomonadota; Gammaproteobacteria; Enterobacterales; Enterobacteriaceae. The record is from RNAcentral.
UACCCUGGUAGUCCACGCCGUAAACGAUGUCGAUUUGGAGGUUGUGCCCUUGAGGCGUGGCUUCCGGAGCUAACGCGUUAAAUCGACCGCCUGGGGAGUACGGCCGCAAGGUUAAAACUCAAAUGAAUUGACGGGGGCCCGCACAAGCGGUGGAGCAUGUGGUUUAAUUCGAUGCAACGCGAAGAACCUUACCUGGUCUUGACAUCCACAGAACUUACCAGAGAUGCCUUGGUGCCUUCGGGAACUGUGAGACAGGUGCUGCAUGGCUGUCGUCAGCUCGUGUUGUGAAAUGUUGGGUUAAGUCCCGCAACGAGCGCAACCCUUAUCCUUUGUUGCCAGCGGUUAGGCCGGGAACUCAAAGGAGACUGCCAGUGAUAAACUGGAGGAAGGUGGGGAUGACGUCAAGUCAUCAUGGCCCUUACGACCAGGGCUACACACGUGCUACAAUGGCAUAUACAAAGAGAAGCGACCUCGCGAGAGCAAGCGGACCUCAUAAAGUAUGUCGUAGUCCGGAUUGGAGUCUGCAACUCGACUCCAUGAAGUCGGAAUCGCUAGUAAUCGUAGAUCAGAAUGCUACGGUGAAUACGUUCCCGGGCCUUGUACACACCGCCCGUCACACCAUGGGAGUGGGUUGCAAAAGAAGUAGGUA